RNAcentral lists this ribosomal RNA (283 nucleotides) under uncultured bacterium. RNAcentral describes it as "partial 16S ribosomal RNA". It matches the Rfam family "Bacterial small subunit ribosomal RNA", at positions 123 to 406 of the family's 1533-position model. The record is from RNAcentral.
AACCUGCCCUUCACUCUGGGAUAACGUCGGGAAACCGGUGCUAAUACUGGAUACGACCUACUCGGGCAUCCGAAGUGGGUGGAAAGAUUUAUUGGUGGAGGAUGGACUCGCGGCCUAUCAGCUUGUUGGUGAGGUAAUGGCUUACCAAGGCGACGACGGGUAGCCGGCCUGAGAGGGCGAUCGGCCACACUGGGACUGAGACACGGCCCAGACUCCUACGGGAGGCAGCAGUGGGGAAUAUUGCACAAUGGGCGCAAGCCUGAUGCAGCGACGCCGCGUGAGG